This 1167-nucleotide long non-coding RNA is filed under the name Marmota monax (woodchuck). Lineage: Eukaryota; Metazoa; Chordata; Mammalia; Rodentia; Sciuridae. The record is from RNAcentral.
GAAUAACAUUAUUUUGUCUUAAAUUCUUUUUCAUAGGGAUAGGCAUGUAUUUCUAUAAGUGUUCACUCUGCUAGUCACAUUUGUCAUUCUACUUGGUUUGUCCCAGAAUUCAAAUACUAAUUUUCUUUAUGAACAUUUCUCAUGCAACUUUGCCAUUUGCUUAUUUUGUCCCAUUAUAGUUGGUCAAAAGAUACAAUAAUACCUUGUAUAACACUUCACCAUAUUAUGUGCUCCUAAUACCAGCAUUCUCUUCUCUUCUGGUGAAUCCAGAGUAUACUAGGUUAUACAAGGACUAUUUUUUUUUAAAGAGCUUGGUCAGCCAACGUUUUAUUUCAUAAGCCAACAUCUUAAUGUUCUUUUUUUUUAUUAGCUACACAUGGCAGUACAGUGAUCUUGACAAUUCAUACAUUUGAAUCAAAUGGGGUAUAAUUUCUAAUUUUUCUGAUUGUACAGGUUGCAGAAUCACAUUGGUUAUACAGUCACCUAUAUACAUACAGCAAUAAUAAUGUCUAUUUUAUUCUGCUGCCCUUCCUAUCCCCCUUUCCCUCCCCUCCCCUAUUUUUACCUGAUACUUCCUUAACUGUCCACUUUAGCACCAUGACAGGAGUUUUGAGAAUAACAUUAGUAAUCAAAAUGCACAAAAUGAUUAAUUUUUUUGCUCUAGAGGUGUGAUCUAGUUCACUCUGAAGACUUCUGUAGAUUCUAAUUUUAAACCAAAAUGAACACAUAUAAAACAAUGUAUAUCUUUCCUGGUAAUAUGACAUGUGACCAAAUAUAGCUAUUUUUCUUGAUAAAAGGGCAUUAUUUCAGACUACAGUUUAAAAUAGUUGUUUUUCACAUCACCCCCCUCAUGUUAUAAUUGUUGGCCCAUUCAAUUAAAAAUGUAGCUGAUUAAACUUUUGGGAACUCAAUAUUAGGGUUGGCUAAAAGGAAUGAGUGUAAUGUUUUAGAAAGAAAAUGUUAUCCUGACAAGAAUGUUUUAAAAGUGAAGUCAUUGUUGGUUUUGGAAGCAAUGGCAUUGUAAUUAGUCAUGGUUUAAAAAUGAAGUAACUUGAAAUAUCAUCAUAAAGUAUUGUUGGAUCUGAAAGAAGACAGUGAACAUUUUUGGUAAUUUUUAGUAUGCUCCCUGAUGUGAUUCAUUUAUUCAUUUUAUUUAUGGAAUUUAGC